Molecule: long non-coding RNA, 606 nt
Filed under: Callithrix jacchus (white-tufted-ear marmoset)
Lineage: Eukaryota; Metazoa; Chordata; Mammalia; Primates; Cebidae
Description: lncRNA (ENSCJAG00000085039.1)
Source: RNAcentral
GAUGGACGAGGGGCCAAGGGAGGCCAUGGGUUAUCUUCUCCAAUUUUUGGAAGGAACCAGCCCCAUGGAUACCUUGAUUUUAGCCCCAUUAGCCUUAUUUUGGACUCUGACCUCUAGGACUGUAAGAGAAUAAUACAGUGUUGUUUUAAACCUCUGAGAUUCUGGUGACUGUUGCAGCAGCUGCAGGAACAGAAAAUGCGCUGCCUAGGUGGACCCUCUGGUUCCUCACCACCCAUGCUGGAGCGGCGCAGGCUGCCAGGAAGAACAAGGAAACAGUUCCAUGCUGGAGAGUCGUGAUCCGCAGAUCUGUCACACCGUGGGGAUUUUGUUGUGCUUUUUGAAUGCAGUGGCUAGCUGGACAGACAGACGGCAGAUGACUGCUUCAUGCCUCCGAGGCUGUAAAAUGGAACCAGAGAAAUCUCCCGUGGCUUCGGCUUCACUAGGUUGGUUUCCUUACAUGGUUGCAGAACCACUAAUGUGUCCUUAAUGAGCUGCCAUUUACUUAUGCAAAUAGCAGGGCACAGAUGCCAGGGGGAUGAGGGCUGAGCAGAGAGGCGUGCCUCUGCAUAUGGCUCAUGUUUUAACAUGGGAGCUGCUGUCCCUGGA